This is a long non-coding RNA of Sapajus apella (tufted capuchin), 1118 nucleotides long. RefSeq lists it as uncharacterized. The record is from RefSeq and is a predicted model, not a curated record. The transcript has 2 exons. Lineage: Eukaryota; Metazoa; Chordata; Mammalia; Primates; Cebidae.
GUGCCAUUGCACUCUAGCCUGGGCGACAGAAUGAGACUCCAUCUAAAAAAAAUAAUAAGAUAAAAUAAAAGAUAGAUGAGUUCUCAAAAAUUCAACCAAACAAAACAACAGGCAGGUACUGGGUUGUAUAAACGAUAUCUCAAUUAUUUUUAUUUUAUUAUACUUUAUGAAAUACUGGUAUUUUGAGUUCAGUGGAAUGAACUCAUCAAAUGCUCACCUGGUACCCAAACGGGAAACCCAAGAUGCCUAGGUAUUAAAAGUUCUACUUCCAAAGGGGGCUAGAGAGAUAAGAAGGUUAAGCCAGAAGCUGAAAUGGUUAGGUAAGAAAGUUAGCUGUUGCUUUAUAGCUACAAAUAAAAUUAGGUGAGUUUAUUAAAAAGAUGUUGCUUUGUUGGGAAAGAUGUCUUGGAAAAAAGUGAACCUGAAAAAAAAAGAUUUGAAAUGAUCCUUGAGAAAACUUAUGUCUGCACAGAAGCCUGCAUGCCCACAGAUGUUUACAGCAGCUUUAUUCGUAAUUGUCAAAACUUGGAACAACUAAGAUACCCUUAAGUAGGUGAAUAUAGAUAAGCAAACUGUGAUCCAUCCCAACUAUGGACUAUUAUUAAGUACUAAAAAGAAAUGAGCUAUCAUAACCAUGAAAAGAUGUGGAGGAACCUUGAAUGCAUAUGUCUAAGUGAAAGAUGGCAAUCUGGAAGACUGCAUACUUUAUGAUUCCAACUGUAUGAUAGUCUGGAAGAGGCAAGUCUGUGAGACCAUAAAAAGGUCAGGGGUUGGGGGUUGGCAAAGAGGCAUGACUAGGUGGAGCACAGAGGAUUUUUAAGGCAGCGAAACCACUUUGUAUGAUACCAUAAUGGGUGGAUACAUGUCACCGUACAUUUGUCCAAACCCCUAGAAUGAACACCAAGAGUGAACCCUAACAUACGCUUUAAACUUUGGGUGUAACAAAUGUAUAGGUUGUUGCAAAAGUAAUUAAUUGUGGUUUUUGCCAUCAACCUAUACCACUUUAGUGGGGAGGUUGAUAAUGGGGUAGGCUAUGCCUAUGUGGGGACAGGGGGAUAUAGGAAAUCUCUUUAUCUUCCUCCCCAUUCUGCGAACCUAAAAUGAUCUAAAAAAAAAAA